CCUCAGCCCCUCCAUGUCUCUCAUUCACGUCCCUCAGCCCCCCCCAUGUGUCUCAUUCACGUCCCUCAGCCCCUCCAUGUCUCUCAUUCACGUUCCUCACCCCUCUAUGUGUCUCAUUCACAUCCCUCAGCCCCUCCAUGUGUCUCAUUCACGUCCCUCAGCCCCUCCAUGUGUCUCAUUCACGUCCCUCAGCCCCUCCAUGUGUCUCAUUCACAUCCCUCAGCCCCUCCAUGUGUCUCAUUCACGUCCC
Non-coding RNA from Pelobates cultripes (western spadefoot toad), 250 nucleotides. NCBI's taxonomy places the organism in Eukaryota, Metazoa, Chordata, Amphibia, Anura, Pelobatidae. The record is from the annotation of a GenBank genome assembly.